Molecule: transfer RNA, 74 nt
Filed under: Candidatus Portnoybacteria bacterium CG03_land_8_20_14_0_80_41_10
Lineage: Bacteria; Candidatus Portnoyibacteriota
Also listed under: 1 other name
Description: tRNA-Arg
Rfam family: tRNA
About the family: Transfer RNA (tRNA) molecules are approximately 80 nucleotides in length. Their secondary structure includes four short double-helical elements and three loops (D, anti-codon, and T loops). Further hydrogen bonds mediate the characteristic L-shaped molecular structure. tRNAs have two regions of fundamental functional importance: the anti-codon, which is responsible for specific mRNA codon recognition, and the 3' end, to which the tRNAs corresponding amino acid is attached (by aminoacyl-tRNA synthetases). tRNAs cope with the degeneracy of the genetic code in two manners: having more than one tRNA (with a specific anti-codon) for a particular amino acid; and 'wobble' base-pairing, i.e. permitting non-standard base-pairing at the 3rd anti-codon position.
Source: RNAcentral
GCGCCUGUAGCUCAGCUGGAUAGAGCGGCUCCCUUCUAAGGAGCAGGUCGCGGGUCCGAAUCCUGCCAGGCGCG